Molecule: ribosomal RNA, 460 nt
Filed under: Pycnococcus provasolii
Lineage: Eukaryota; Viridiplantae; Chlorophyta; Pseudoscourfieldiophyceae; Pseudoscourfieldiales; Pycnococcaceae
Description: partial Bacterial large subunit ribosomal RNA
Rfam family: Bacterial large subunit ribosomal RNA
Source: RNAcentral
AAAUCCGGUUAAUAUUCCGGAACUGAGAAACAGUGCUGUGGAGUGACGCAAUAGGGUAGGCAGGACGGCCGAUGGAUGCCGUUGAAGUAAACAGCCCGUCGCUUUGGUAAAUCCGGGCGGCACUAGGGUAAAUAAACAGACGAAAGUACGGAACUUCGGUUCCGGAACAAGCUGCUGACCCCAAUUGCCAAGAAAAGCUUCGUUCAGCUUAACUGUUAAUCAACAGUACCGCAAACCGACACAGGUAGGUGGGAUGAGAAUUCUAAGGUGCUUGUGAGAACCCUCGUUCAGGAACUCGGCAAAAUGUAUCCGUAACUUCGGGAGAAGGAUAGCCGUGUUCACCAAGAACACGGUCGCAGAGAAAUGUUUCAGGCGACUGUUUAACAAAAACACAGGUCUCCGCAAAGUUGUAAAGACAACGUAUGGGGGCUGACGCCUGCCCAAUGCUGGAAGGUUAAGA